AGGGGGAGAGACAAAGACAAAGAGACGAAGGUGGGCGACCCUAACGCAGUCCUCCAUUUCAUUUCAAACCGGCGUGCGGGUAGGUGUGGAGUGUUGCCGCAGGUGUGGACUGCCGGCGACCUGCGUGACAAAGGAAGGUUUGGAACAAAACAAGAAGCAAGAACAAUUAAGAUGAACACUAGCCACACCAAAGAACUGUUACUGCUGGCACCACCACCACCAUCACCACCACCACCAACACACACACACACACACACACGAGUGGUCGUGUGUGUGUGUGAGAAGGAUCCGGGUCAAAUGUCAAGCAGGGUGAGGUGAGCAGUCUUGAAGCAGAGGAAAGGAUCCAAGUGACUGCAGAUACCUUGGAAGGAAGGUGAUGGUGAGGAACAGUGAAGAAAGAUGACGGAGCAGAAACAGGCCCACACCAUCCUGGAAUGUGCUGCAAAUAAUCUUGGUUACCGGCAAAGUAAAGAGAUAAAGAGAUAGAUAGAUACAGAUAGAUAAUUAUUAGUAAGAGUGAGAUUAAGAUAGAUAGAUAAUUAUUAUUAAGAGUGUUAGUUAGAUAGAUAUAUACAGAGAUAGAUAAUUAUUAGUAAGAGUGAGAUUAAGAUAGAUAAUUAUUAUUAAGAGUGCUAGAUUAUUAUAUUCUUAUUAUAUUAUUAUUUUAUUUGUGUGUGUGGUGUGUGUGUGUGUGUGUUCUCUUUUCCUCUUUUCAGAAGUGUGUUUGGAAUGCAAGAAAUAUACAAGACCACAGAAGAUUCUAUAGUGGUGGUGGUGGUAGUAGUAGUAGUAAUAGUAGUAGUAGUAGUAGUAGUACUUUAUCAAUA
This is a long non-coding RNA of Scylla paramamosain (green mud crab), 827 nucleotides long. RefSeq lists it as uncharacterized. The record is from RefSeq and is a predicted model, not a curated record. The transcript is spliced from 3 exons. Lineage: Eukaryota; Metazoa; Arthropoda; Malacostraca; Decapoda; Portunidae.